This 2902-nucleotide ribosomal RNA is filed under the name Klebsiella pneumoniae. Its description in RNAcentral is "23S ribosomal RNA". It matches the Rfam family "Bacterial large subunit ribosomal RNA". Lineage: Bacteria; Pseudomonadati; Pseudomonadota; Gammaproteobacteria; Enterobacterales; Enterobacteriaceae. The record is from RNAcentral.
GGUUAAGCGACUAAGCGUACACGGUGGAUGCCCUGGCAGUCAGAGGCGAUGAAGGACGUGCUAAUCUGCGAAAAGCGUCGGUAAGGUGAUAUGAACCGUUACAGCCGGCGAUGUCCGAAUGGGGAAACCCAGUGUGAUUCGUCACACUAUCGUUAACUGAAUACAUAGGUUAACGAGGCGAACCGGGGGAACUGAAACAUCUAAGUACCCCGAGGAAAAGAAAUCAACCGAGAUUCCCCCAGUAGCGGCGAGCGAACGGGGAGCAGCCCAGAGUCUGAAUCAGCUUGUGUGUUAGUGGAACGGUCUGGAAAGUCCGACGGUACAGGGUGAUAGUCCCGUACACCAAAAUGCACAGGCUGUGAACUCGAAGAGUAGGGCGGGACACGUGGUAUCCUGUCUGAAUAUGGGGGGACCAUCCUCCAAGGCUAAAUACUCCUGACUGACCGAUAGUGAACCAGUACCGUGAGGGAAAGGCGAAAAGAACCCCGGCGAGGGGAGUGAAAAAGAACCUGAAACCGUGUACGUACAAGCAGUGGGAGCACCUUCGGGUGUGACUGCGUACCUUUUGUAUAAUGGGUCAGCGACUUAUAUUCUGUAGCAAGGUUAACCGUAUAGGGGAGCCGCAGGGAAACCGAGUCUUAACUGGGCGUUAAGUUGCAGGGUAUAGACCCGAAACCCGGUGAUCUAGCCAUGGGCAGGUUGAAGGUUGGGUAACACUAACUGGAGGACCGAACCGACUAAUGUUGAAAAAUUAGCGGAUGACUUGUGGCUGGGGGUGAAAGGCCAAUCAAACCGGGAGAUAGCUGGUUCUCCCCGAAAGCUAUUUAGGUAGCGCCUCGUGAAUUCAUCUUCGGGGGUAGAGCACUGUUUCGGCUAGGGGGUCAUCCCGACUUACCAACCCGAUGCAAACUACGAAUACCGAAGAAUGUUAUCACGGGAGACACACGGCGGGUGCUAACGUCCGUCGUGAAGAGGGAAACAACCCAGACCGCCAGCUAAGGUCCCAAAGUCAUGGUUAAGUGGGAAACGAUGUGGGAAGGCACAGACAGCCAGGAUGUUGGCUUAGAAGCAGCCAUCAUUUAAAGAAAGCGUAAUAGCUCACUGGUCGAGUCGGCCUGCGCGGAAGAUGUAACGGGGCUAAACCAUGCACCGAAGCUGCGGCAGCGACACUAUGUGUUGUUGGGUAGGGGAGCGUUCUGUAAGCCUGCGAAGGUGUGCUGUGAGGCAUGCUGGAGGUAUCAGAAGUGCGAAUGCUGACAUAAGUAACGAUAAAGCGGGUGAAAAGCCCGCUCGCCGGAAGACCAAGGGUUCCUGUCCAACGUUAAUCGGGGCAGGGUGAGUCGACCCCUAAGGCGAGGCCGAAAGGCGUAGUCGAUGGGAAACAGGUUAAUAUUCCUGUACUUGGUGUUACUGCGAAGGGGGGACGGAGAAGGCUAUGUUAGCCGGGCGACGGUUGUCCCGGUUUAAGCAUGUAGGCUGGUUGUCCAGGCAAAUCCGGAUAAUCAAGGCUGAGGUGUGAUGACGAGGUACUACGGUGCUGAAGUAACAAAUGCCCUGCUUCCAGGAAAAGCCUCUAAGCAUCAGGUAACAUCAAAUCGUACCCCAAACCGACACAGGUGGUCAGGUAGAGAAUACCAAGGCGCUUGAGAGAACUCGGGUGAAGGAACUAGGCAAAAUGGUGCCGUAACUUCGGGAGAAGGCACGCUGGUGUGUAGGUGAAGUCCCUGCGGAUGGAGCUGAGACCAGUCGAAGAUACCAGCUGGCUGCAACUGUUUAUUAAAAACACAGCACUGUGCAAACACGAAAGUGGACGUAUACGGUGUGACGCCUGCCCGGUGCCGGAAGGUUAAUUGAUGGGGUUAUCCGUAAGGAGAAGCUCUUGAUCGAAGCCCCGGUAAACGGCGGCCGUAACUAUAACGGUCCUAAGGUAGCGAAAUUCCUUGUCGGGUAAGUUCCGACCUGCACGAAUGGCGUAAUGAUGGCCAGGCUGUCUCCACCCGAGACUCAGUGAAAUUGAACUCGCUGUGAAGAUGCAGUGUACCCGCGGCAAGACGGAAAGACCCCGUGAACCUUUACUAUAGCUUGACACUGAACAUUGAGCCUUGAUGUGUAGGAUAGGUGGGAGGCUUUGAAGCGUGGACGCCAGUCUGCGUGGAGCCAACCUUGAAAUACCACCCUUUAAUGUUUGAUGUUCUAACGUUGGCCCCUUACCGGGGUUGCGGACAGUGUCUGGUGGGUAGUUUGACUGGGGCGGUCUCCUCCCAAAGCGUAACGGAGGAGCACGAAGGUUAGCUAAUCCUGGUCGGACAUCAGGAGGUUAGUGCAAUGGCAUAAGCUAGCUUGACUGCGAGCGUGACGGCGCGAGCAGGUGCGAAAGCAGGUCAUAGUGAUCCGGUGGUUCUGAAUGGAAGGGCCAUCGCUCAACGGAUAAAAGGUACUCCGGGGAUAACAGGCUGAUACCGCCCAAGAGUUCAUAUCGACGGCGGUGUUUGGCACCUCGAUGUCGGCUCAUCACAUCCUGGGGCUGAAGUAGGUCCCAAGGGUAUGGCUGUUCGCCAUUUAAAGUGGUACGCGAGCUGGGUUUAGAACGUCGUGAGACAGUUCGGUCCCUAUCUGCCGUGGGCGCUGGAGAAUUGAGGGGGGCUGCUCCUAGUACGAGAGGACCGGAGUGGACGCAUCACUGGUGUUCGGGUUGUCAUGCCAAUGGCACUGCCCGGUAGCUAAAUGCGGAAGAGAUAAGUGCUGAAAGCAUCUAAGCACGAAACUUGCCCCGAGAUGAGUUCUCCCUGAGACUUUAAGUCUCCUGAAGGAACGUUAAAGACGAUGACGUUGAUAGGCCGGGUGUGUAAGCGCAGCGAUGCGUUGAGCUAACCGGUACUAAUGAACCGUGAGGCUUAACCUU